UGGGCGUUAAGUUGCAGGGUAUAGACCCGAAACCCGGUGAUCUAGCCAUGGGCAGGUUGAAGGUUGGGUAACACUAACUGGAGGACCGAACCGACUAAUGUUGAAAAAUUAGCGGAUGACCUGUGGCUGGGGGUGAAAGGCCAAUCAAACCGGGAGAUAGCUGGUUCUCCCCGAAAGCUAUUUAGGUAGCGCCUCGUGAAUUCAUCUCCGGGGGUAGAGCACUGUUUCGGCUAGGGGGCCAUCCCGGCUUACCAACCCGAUGCAAACUGCGAAUACCGGAGAAUGUUAUCACGGGAGACACACGGCGGGUGCUAACGUCCGUCGUGAAGAGGGAAACAACCCAGACCGCCAGCUAAGGUCCCAAAGUCAUGGUUAAGUGGGAAACGAUGUGGGAAGGCCCAGACAGCCAGGAUGUUGGCUUAGAAGCAGCCAUCAUUUAAAGAAAGCGUAAUAGCUCACUGGUCGAGUCGGCCUGCGCGGAAGAUGUAACGGGGCUAAACCAUGCACCGAAGCUGCGGCAGCGACACUGUGUGUUGUUGGGUAGGGGAGCGUUCUGUAAGCCUGCGAAGGUGGCCUGUGAGGGUUGCUGGAGGUAUCAGAAGUGCGAAUGCUGACAUAAGUAACGAUAAAGCGGGUGAAAAGCCCGCUCGCCGGAAGACCAAGGGUUCCUGUCCAACGUUAAUCGGGGCAGGGUGAGUCGACCCCUAAGGCGAGGCCGAAAGGCGUAGUCGAUGGGAAACGGGUUAAUAUUCCCGUACUUGGUGUUACUGCGAAGGGGGGACGGAGAAGGCUAUGUUGGCCGGGCGACGGUUGUCCCGGUUUAAGCGUGUAGGUGUGUGUUCCAGGUAAAUCCGGUUCACUUUAACACUGAGGCGUGACGACGAGGCACUACGGUGCUGAAGCAACAAAUGCCCUGCUUCCAGGAAAAGCCUCUAAGCAUCAGGUAACAUCAAAUCGUACCCCAAACCGACACAGGUGGUCAGGUAGAGAAUACCAAGGCGCUUGAGAGAACUCGGGUGAAGGAACUAGGCAAAAUGGUGCCGUAACUUCGGGAGAAGGCACGCUGACACGUAGGUGAAGUGAUUUACUCAUGGAGCUGAAGUCAGUCGAAGAUACCAGCUGGCUGCAACUGUUUAUUAAAAACACAGCACUGUGCAAACACGAAAGUGGACGUAUACGGUGUGACGCCUGCCCGGUGCCGGAAGGUUAAUUGAUGGGGUCAGCGCAAGCGAAGCUCCUGAUCGAAGCCCCGGUAAACGGCGGCCGUAACUAUAACGGUCCUAAGGUAGCGAAAUUCCUUGUCGGGUAAGUUCCGACCUGCACGAAUGGCGUAAUGAUGGCCAGGCUGUCUCCACCCGAGACUCAGUGAAAUUGAACUCGCUGUGAAGAUGCAGUGUACCCGCGGCAAGACGGAAAGACCCCGUGAACCUUUACUAUAGCUUGACACUGAACAUUGAGCCUUGAUGUGUAGGAUAGGUGGGAGGCUUUGAAGUGUGGACGCCAGUCUGCAUGGAGCCGACCUUGAAAUACCACCCUUUAAUGUUUGAUGUUCUAACGUGGACCCGUUACCCGGGUUGCGGACAGUGUCUGGUGGGUAGUUUGACUGGGGCGGUCUCCUCCUAAAGAGUAACGGAGGAGCACGAAGGUUGGCUAAUCCUGGUCGGACAUCAGGAGGUUAGUGCAAUGGCAUAAGCCAGCUUGACUGCGAGCGUGACGGCGCGAGCAGGUGCGAAAGCAGGUCAUAGUGAUCCGGUGGUUCUGAAUGGAAGGGCCAUCGCUCAACGGAUAAAAGGUACUCCGGGGAUAACAGGCUGAUACCGCCCAAGAGUUCAUAUCGACGGCGGUGUUUGGCACCUCGAUGUCGGCUCAUCACAUCCUGGGGCUGAAGUAGGUCCCAAGGGUAUGGCUGUUCGCCAUUUAAAGUGGUACGCGAGCUGGGUUUAGAACGUCGUGAGACAGUUCGGUCCCUAUCUGCCGUGGGCGCUGGAGAACUGAGGGGGGCUGCUCCUAGUACGAGAGGACCGGAGUGGACGCAUCACUGGUGUUCGGGUUGUCAUGCCAAUGGCACUGCCCGGUAGCUAAAUGCGGAAGAGAUAAGUGCUGAAAGCAUCUAAGCACGAAACUUGCCCCGA
RNAcentral lists this ribosomal RNA (2132 nucleotides) under Salmonella enterica subsp. enterica serovar Enteritidis. RNAcentral describes it as "partial 23S ribosomal RNA". It matches the Rfam family "Bacterial large subunit ribosomal RNA", at positions 689 to 2802 of the family's 2925-position model. The record is from RNAcentral. Lineage: Bacteria; Pseudomonadati; Pseudomonadota; Gammaproteobacteria; Enterobacterales; Enterobacteriaceae.